AGGACGAACGCUGGCGGCGUGCUUAACACAUGCAAGUCGAACGAGGCCCUGCCUUCGGGCAGGUGACCUAGUGGCGAACGGGUGAGUAACACGUGGGCAACCUACCCUCAGCUCUGGGAUAACCCCGGGAAACCGGAAUUAAUACCGGAUAUGACCACGGCCGACAUCGGCCACGGUGGAAAGAUUCAUCGGCUAGGGAUGGGCUCGCGGCCUAUCAGCUUGUUGGUGGGGUAACAGCCUACCAAGGCGACGACGGGUA
This 259-nucleotide ribosomal RNA is filed under the name uncultured bacterium. RNAcentral's name for it is "partial small subunit ribosomal RNA". It matches the Rfam family "Bacterial small subunit ribosomal RNA", at positions 26 to 285 of the family's 1533-position model. The record is from RNAcentral.